RNAcentral lists this ribosomal RNA (524 nucleotides) under uncultured bacterium. RNAcentral's name for it is "partial 16S ribosomal RNA". It matches the Rfam family "Bacterial small subunit ribosomal RNA", at positions 28 to 523 of the family's 1533-position model. The record is from RNAcentral.
GACGAACGCUGGCGGCGUGCCUAAUGCAUGCAAGUCGAACGAAGCUGUUUUAACUGGUGCUUGCACCGACUUAAACAACUGAGUGGCGAACGGGUGAGUAACACGUGGGUAACCUGCCCCAAAGCGGGGGAUAACAUUUGGAAACAGAUGCUAAUACCGCAUAACAACAGAAACCACAUGGUUUCUGUGUCAAAGAUGGUUUCGGCUACCACUUUGGGAUGGACCCGCGGCGUAUUAGCUAGUUGGUAAGGUAAUGGCUUACCAAGGCAAUGAUACGUAGCCGAACUGAGAGGUUGAUCGGCCACAUUGGGACUGAGACACGGCCCAAACUCCUACGGGAGGCAGCAGUAGGGAAUCUUCCACAAUGGACGAAAGUCUGAUGGAGCAACGCCGCGUGAGUGAAGAAGGUUUUCGGAUCGUAAAACUCUGUUGUCAGAGAAGAACGUGUGCGAGAGUAACUGCUCGUGCAGUGACGGUAUCUGGCCAGAAAGCCACGGCUAACUACGUGCCAGCCGCCGCGGUAA